Non-coding RNA from Paramuricea clavata, 210 nucleotides. Lineage: Eukaryota; Metazoa; Cnidaria; Anthozoa; Malacalcyonacea; Plexauridae. The record is from the annotation of a GenBank genome assembly.
AACAACAAAGAGCGCAGUUAGUGUGUUAGUAUGGUCAGUGAUUUCUGGCAUACCAGCAUGCACAUGGCGAUAGUAGGUCAGCGGCUGUUAGUGUUUGAGCAUGCGCAAACAACAGGCACGCAUUGUUCGGAAAUCCUUCUAGGCUUGGGUGCUUAUUAUCGGAAAGUUCGUAUUUUUUAUUCAUUUAUUCGGUUUUUGCGUGUUUUUUUC